UGGAUGCCUACCUCUGGUGUACCAGUUGUCGUGCCAACGGCAUAGCUGGGUAGCUAUGUGUGGACGGGAUAAGUGCUGAAAGCAUCUAAGCAUGAAGCCCCCCUCAAGAUGAGAUUUCCCAACUUCGGUUAUAAGAUCCCUCAAAGAUGAUGAGGUUAAUAGGUUCGAGGUGGAAGCAUGGUGACAUGUGGAGCUGACGAAUACUAAUCGAUCGAAGACUUAAUCAAAAUAAAUGUUUUGCGAAGCAAAAUCACUUUUACUUACUAUCUAGUUUUGAAUGUAUAAAUUACAUUCAUAUGUCUGGAAGGUAAUAAUCCUGUAGUCGAAAAUGUUGUCUCUCUUGAGUGGAUCCUGAGUACGACGGAGCACGUGAAAUUCCGUCGGAAUCUGGGAGGACCAUCUCCUAAGGCUAAAUACUCUCUAGUGACCGAUAGUGAACCAGUACCGUGAGGGAAAGGUGAAAAGCACCCCGGAAGGGGAGUGAAAUAGAACCUGAAACCGUGUGCUUACAAGUAGUCAGAGCCCGUUAAUGGGUGAUGGCGUGCCUUUUGUAGAAUGAACCGGCGAGUUACGAUUUGAUGCAAGGUUAAGCAGUAAAUGUGGAGCCGUAGCGAAAGCGAGUCUGAAUAGGGCGUUUAGUAUUUGGUCGUAGACCCGAAACCAGGUGAUCUACCCUUGGUCAGGUUGAAGUUCAGGUAACACUGAAUGGAGGACCGAACCGACUUACGUUGAAAAGUGAGCGGAUGAACUGAGGGUAGCGGAGAAAUUCCAAUCGAACCUGGAGAUAGCUGGUUCUCUCCGAAAUAGCUUUAGGGCUAGCCUCAAGUGAUGAUUAUUGGAGGUAGAGCACUGUUUGGACGAGGGGCCCCUCUCGGGUUACCGAAUUCAGACAAACUCCGAAUGCCAAUUAAUUUAACUUGGGAGUCAGAACAUGGGUGAUAAGGUCCGUGUUCGAAAGGGAAACAGCCCAGACCACCAGCUAAGGUCCCAAAAUAUAUGUUAAGUGGAAAAGGAUGUGGCGUUGCCAGACAACUAGGAUGUUGGCUUAGAAGCAGCCAUCAUUUAAAGAGUGCGUAAUAGCUCACUAGUCGAGUGACACUGCGCCGAAAAUGUACCGGGGCUAAACAUAUUACCGAAGCUGUGGAUUGUCCUUUGGACAAUGGUAGGAGAGCGUUCUAAGGGCGUUGAAGCAUGAUCGUAAGGACAUGUGGAGCGCUUAGAAGUGAGAAUGCCGGUGUGAGUAGCGAAAGACGGGUGAGAAUCCCGUCCACCGAUUGACUAAGGUUUCCAGAGGAAGGCUCGUCCGCUCUGGGUUAGUCGGGUCCUAAGCUGAGGCCGACAGGCGUAGGCGAUGGAUAACAGGUUGAUAUUCCUGUACCACCUAUAAUCGUUUUAAUCGAUGGGGGGACGCAGUAGGAUAGGCGAAGCGUGCGAUUGGAUUGCACGUCUAAGCAGUAAGGCUGAGUAUUAGGCAAAUCCGGUACUCGUUAAGGCUGAGCUGUGAUGGGGAGAAGACAUUGUGUCUUCGAGUCGUUGAUUUCACACUGCCGAGAAAAGCCUCUAGAUAGAAAAUAGGUGCCCGUACCGCAAACCGACACAGGUAGUCAAGAUGAGAAUUCUAAGGUGAGCGAGCGAACUCUCGUUAAGGAACUCGGCAAAAUGACCCCGUAACUUCGGGAGAAGGGGUGCUCUUUAGGGUUAACGCCCAGAAGAGCCGCAGUGAAUAGGCCCAAGCGACUGUUUAUCAAAAACACAGGUCUCUGCUAAACCGUAAGGUGAUGUAUAGGGGCUGACGCCUGCCCGGUGCUGGAAGGUUAAGAGGAGUGGUUAGCUUCUGCGAAGCUACGAAUCGAAGCCCCAGUAAACGGCGGCCGUAACUAUAACGGUCCUAAGGUAGCGAAAUUCCUUGUCGGGUAAGUUCCGACCCGCACGUAAGGCGUAACGAUUUGGGCACUGUCUCAACGAGAGACUCGGUGAAAUCAUAGUACCUGUGAAGAUGCAGGUUACCCGCGACAGGACGGAAAGACCCCGUGGAGCUUUACUGUAGCCUGAUAUUGAAAUUCGGCACAGCUUGUACAGGAUAGGUAGGAGCCUUUGAAACGUGAGCGCUAGCUUACGUGGAGGCGCUGGUGGGAUACUACCCUAGCUGUGUUGGCUUUCUAACCCGCACCACUUAUCGUGGUGGGAGACAGUGUCAGGCGGGCAGUUUGACUGGGGCGGUCGCCUCCUAAAAGGUAACGGAGGCGCUCAAAGGUUCCCUCAGAAUGGUUGGAAAUCAUUCAUAGAGUGUAAAGGCAUAAGGGAGCUUGACUGCGAGACCUACAAGUCGAGCAGGGUCGAAAGACGGACUUAGUGAUCCGGUGGUUCCGCAUGGAAGGGCCAUCGCUCAACGGAUAAAAGCUACCCCGGGGAUAACAGGCUUAUCUCCCCCAAGAGUUCACAUCGACGGGGAGGUUUGGCACCUCGAUGUCGGCUCAUCGCAUCCUGGGGCUGUAGUCGGUCCCAAGGGUUGGGCUGUUCGCCCAUUAAAGCGGUACGCGAGCUGGGUUCAGAACGUCGUGAGACAGUUCGGUCCCUAUCCGUCGUGGGCGUAGGAAAUUUGAGAGGAGCUGUCCUUAGUACGAGAGGACCGGGAUGGACAUACCUCUGGUGUACCAGUUGUCGUGCCAACGGCAUAGCUGGGUAGCUAUGUGUGGACGGGAUAAGUGCUGAAAGCAUCUAAGCAUGAAGCCCCCCUCAAGAUGAGAUUUCCCAACUUCGGUUAUAAGAUCCCUCAAAGAUGAUGAGGUUAAUAGGUUCGAGGUGGAAGCAUGGUGACAUGUGGAGCUGACGAAUACUAAUCGAUCGAAGACUUAAUC
Molecule: ribosomal RNA, 2858 nt
Filed under: Staphylococcus aureus LCT-SAO
Lineage: Bacteria; Bacillati; Bacillota; Bacilli; Caryophanales; Staphylococcaceae
Description: bacterial LSU rRNA
Rfam family: Bacterial large subunit ribosomal RNA
Source: RNAcentral